UUAAAUGAAUUGACGGGACCCGCACAAGCAGCGGAGCGUGUGGUUUAAUUCGUUGCUACACGAAGAACCUUACCUGGGUUUGACAUAUAAGUUGUAGGGAACUGAAAAGGGACCGACCUUCGGGAGCUUAUACAGGUGUUGCAUGGCUGUCGUCAGCUCGUGUCGUGAGAUGUUCGGUUAAGUCCGCUAACGAGCGCAACCCUCGCCGUAUGUUACAAGUGUCAUACGGGACUGCCGGUAAAAAGCCGGAGGAAGGUGAGGAUGAUGUCAAGUCAGCAUGACCUUUAUAUCCAGGGCUACACACACGCUACAAUGGUCUGUACAAUUGGUUGCCAAGCCGCGAGGCGGAGCCAAUCCGUAAAGCAGGCCUCAGUUCAGAUUGCAGUCUGCAACUCGACUGCAUGAAGCCGGAGUUGCUAGUAACCGCAGGUCAGCAAUACUGCGGUGAAUACGUUCCCGGGUCUU
This 465-nucleotide ribosomal RNA is filed under the name uncultured Anaerolineaceae bacterium. Its description in RNAcentral is "bacterial SSU rRNA". It matches the Rfam family "Bacterial small subunit ribosomal RNA", at positions 901 to 1382 of the family's 1533-position model. Lineage: Bacteria; Bacillati; Chloroflexota; Anaerolineae; Anaerolineales; Anaerolineaceae. The record is from RNAcentral.